Non-coding RNA from Pelobates cultripes (western spadefoot toad), 810 nucleotides. Lineage: Eukaryota; Metazoa; Chordata; Amphibia; Anura; Pelobatidae. The record is from the annotation of a GenBank genome assembly.
CUUUUAUCGUACAUCGGACUUGUUCUGCGUGUUAUUUACACGUAGCUACAAUGAUGCAUGUGUGUCCCACGCUUUGCUCAAUUCUGGUCUGGUUAGUAAGGUACAGUAAAUAUAGGAAAUACAUAUUCGUUAAAAUAUAGGAACUCUAUUGUACCAAUGCGUUCUGUAUGUAUUGGGCUUGUUUAGGGUAUUGCUUAAUGUUGGAUGUAUUGGGCAGCGAUCCGUAAAUCGUUUAGCCUUCUGUAGUGUUUAUGUAUAAGCUAGUUUGUUCAGCCGUGAUCGUUUUCCCGUUCUAGGUACGUUGUGCAGGUUGGCUGUAGUGUGUACUGGGUUUGGGUUGGCUUCAAACAAUUGGAAGGCAUGAUAUGGGUCACUGGCAAAAGGGCCACUAAUGGGUGUUUUUGGGAUUACAUGUCGGCCAGAUUGGCCAUGUGGUCACUGCUCGAUUCCUCGGAAUUGCCUAUUUUAGUGGGAUAUCGGUUUUCUGUGGUAUCGCUUGUCUGUCUUCAGUUUGCCCAUCUGCCUUUGGUUUCCCCCUUUUUCACUCUCAUGUCUUCUAUGUUCCCUGUAUGGUCUAUCGUUCGCUGUUGAGGUGGGAAUGGGAGCUGCCAGAGGUGGCAGUUGUUGCAACAUGUGUUGGUGGCUGUAGGUAGGGGUGAAUCUGUUUAUACCAGCCAUACAUCACAUGUUGAGGGGGUUCGUAUUCAAUCCUAUACUCUGUGUCCUCUAAUGCUGUAUAAUUACCAUUAUUGUAUGGGAUGGGGUAGGGAGGGUGAGGUAUGGGUAAGAGGAUGAGCAGAGAGGGAGCGG